This is a non-coding RNA of Camelina sativa (false flax), 518 nucleotides long. Lineage: Eukaryota; Viridiplantae; Streptophyta; Magnoliopsida; Brassicales; Brassicaceae. The record is from RefSeq and is a predicted model, not a curated record.
CCUGAGCAGCUUUGUAAGCAGUGAGUGUAUGUUCAGCAGCAUCUUUCCUCUCUUGACCAGAUUUGAACUCAGCCAAGUAUCUAUGGUAAUCACCUUUCAUCUUAAGGUAAAACACCUUCGAAUCUCCAGAAGCAGCAGCGGGGACGAGGAUCGUAUCGAGAAGCUUGAGGAUACCGUCACAGAUAUCGGAGAGCUCGGUUUCGAUUUUGCUUCUGUAGUCACGGAUCAAGGAAACGUGGUCGUCGUUGCCGCGAGACUCUUCCUUCUGUUCAAUCGAUGAGAUGAUCCUCCACGAGGCACGGCGAGCUCCGAUCACGUUUUUGUAAGCGACGGAGAGGAGGUUACGUUCUUCGACGGUGAGUUCGUCUUUGUCAACGGCUUUCGCGACUUUUUCCAUGAAUUCGACCAUCUCUUCGUAACGCUCGGCUUGUUCCGCGAGUUUCGCCAUGUAUACGAACUCUUCCCUUGCUGAUGAAGCUGCUGGUGCCGCCAUUGUUGUUUAGAUCGGAGAUGAUGAA